This 1287-nucleotide ribosomal RNA is filed under the name metagenome. Its description in RNAcentral is "bacterial SSU rRNA". It matches the Rfam family "Bacterial small subunit ribosomal RNA", at positions 242 to 1520 of the family's 1533-position model. The record is from RNAcentral.
UAGCUAGUUGGUGAGGUAAAGGCUUACCAAGGCGACGAUCUGUAGCGGGUCUGAGAGGAUGAUCCGCCACACUGGAACUGAGACACGGUCCAGACUCCUACGGGAGGCAGCAGUGGGGAAUUUUGGACAAUGGGGGCAACCCUGAUCCAGCCAUGCCGCGUGAGUGAAGAAGGCCUUCGGGUUGUAAAGCUCUUUCGGCCGGGAAGAAAUCGCAUGGGCCAAUACCCUGUGUGGAUGACGGUACCGGAAUAAGAAGCACCGGCUAACUACGUGCCAGCAGCCGCGGUAAUACGUAGGGUGCGAGCGUUAAUCGGAAUUACUGGGCGUAAAGCGUGCGCAGGCGGUUUUGUAAGACAGGCGUGAAAUCCCCGGGCUUAACCUGGGAACUGCGUUUGUGACUGCAAGGCUAGAGUACGGCAGAGGGGGGUGGAAUUCCACGUGUAGCAGUGAAAUGCGUAGAGAUGUGGAGGAACACCAAUGGCGAAGGCAGCCCCCUGGGUCGAUACUGACGCUCAUGCACGAAAGCGUGGGUAGCAAACAGGAUUAGAUACCCUGGUAGUCCACGCCCUAAACUAUGUCAACUAGGUGUUGGGUGGGUAAAACCAUUUAGUACCGUAGCUAACGCGUGAAGUUGACCGCCUGGGGAGUACGGCCGCAAGGUUAAAACUCAAAGGAAUUGACGGGGACCCGCACAAGCGGUGGAUGAUGUGGAUUAAUUCGAUGCAACGCGAAAAACCUUACCUACCCUUGACAUGCCAGGAACCUGCCAGAGAAGGCUUGGUGCCCGAAAGGGAGCCUGGACACAGGUGCUGCAUGGCUGUCGUCAGCUCGUGUCGUGAGAUGUUGGGUUAAGUCCCGCAACGAGCGCAACCCUUGUCGUUAAUUGCCAUCAUUUAGUUGGGCACUUUAACGAGACUGCCGGUGACAAACCGGAGGAAGGUGGGGAUGACGUCAAGUCCUCAUGGCCCUUAUGGGUAGGGCUUCACACGUCAUACAAUGGUCGGUACAAAGGGUUGCCAAGCCGCGAGGCGGAGCCAAUCCCAGAAAGCCGAUCGUAGUCCGGAUUGCAGGCUGCAACUCGCCUGCAUGAAGUCGGAAUCGCUAGUAAUCGUGGAUCAGCAUGUCACGGUGAAUACGUUCCCGGGUCUUGUACACACCGCCCGUCACACCAUGGGAGCGGGUUCCGCCAGAAGUAGGUAGCCUAACCGCAAGGGGGGCGCUUACCACGGCGGGGUUCGUGACUGGGGUGAAGUCGUAACAAGGUAGCCGUAGGGGAACCUGCGGCUG